UGCUCUGUGGAGCUAAGGAGCAGAUUCUCUCUUUCUCUCUCCUCCCAGCUUCACCUCCUGAG
This 62-nucleotide microRNA precursor is filed under the name Pongo abelii (Sumatran orangutan). RNAcentral describes it as "miRNA". Lineage: Eukaryota; Metazoa; Chordata; Mammalia; Primates; Hominidae. The record is from RNAcentral.